GCCCUGGUAGCUCAGCAGGUAGAUAGACGCCUAAAGCGUCUGGCUGUUAUGCAGAAGGUCGACGGUUCGAGUCCGUCCCGGGGCG
RNAcentral lists this transfer RNA (85 nucleotides) under Candidatus Aenigmatarchaeota archaeon. RNAcentral describes it as "tRNA-Asn". It matches the Rfam family "tRNA". From Rfam's summary of the family: Transfer RNA (tRNA) molecules are approximately 80 nucleotides in length. Lineage: Archaea; Nanobdellati; Candidatus Aenigmatarchaeota. The record is from RNAcentral.